CCCAGAGUAGGCUGACUUGGUUGCUGUGGUACAGAGAAGCCAGCUUGUUUACACGCUCAUUCUAUG
Molecule: non-coding RNA, 66 nt
Organism: Ailuropoda melanoleuca (giant panda)
Lineage: Eukaryota; Metazoa; Chordata; Mammalia; Carnivora; Ursidae
Source: Rfam